UACGGAGGAUGCAAGCGUUAUCCGGAUUUAUUGGGCGUAAAGCGUCCGCAGGUGGUUGAGCAAGUCUGCCGUCAAAGCGUGGAGCUUAACUCCAUACCGGCGGUGGAAACUGCUCGACUAGAGUGUGGCAGGGGUAGCGGGAAUUCCCAGUGUAGCGGUGAAAUGCGUAGAUAUUGGGAAGAACACCGGCGGCGAAAGCGCGCUACUGGGCCAAUACUGACACUGAGGGACGAAAGCCAGGGGAG
RNAcentral lists this ribosomal RNA (245 nucleotides) under uncultured bacterium. RNAcentral describes it as "partial 16S ribosomal RNA". It matches the Rfam family "Bacterial small subunit ribosomal RNA", at positions 524 to 768 of the family's 1533-position model. The record is from RNAcentral.